UUUUUUUUUUUUAAUGCUUCUGUUCUCCUUAUCUUGCUACCCCAUAAUUAAAAACAUGAUAGAAUUAUAUUUUUCACAUACAUACCUUAUUAUGUCCUCUAGAUUACUAUGUAUUUUACACGUGUAUAUUUGCAUAUUGCCAGAGAGAAGUAUAUAUACCAAACCACACACAUUCUACUCUACUUGAUGUAAAGGAUUCUCAAGCGUUACCUUGAAAAAAUAUGAUUAUCACUUUGCUCUUGGACCUUGUAACCCAAUGCUAACCUAAGCCACAGCCAACCAUUACAUGGAGAGUAAUGCUGUUUCUUAGGAAAGGGUGACUUAUCACCUGAUAAAUGCAGCUAAAGAUGCUAACAGAUUUUAAAAAUCACAAUAGAAAGAACUAGAGAAUAACUGGGAAGCUUUCUGCCUACGUGAAAGCCAGGAAAAAGGAUUUUAAAAUGUAUCUUGAACAAAACCUGUAGCUAACAUGCUUACUUUACUUCCAUUCUUAGUUAGAAUUACCAAAUGACCAGUUUUGAGUAUAAAAACUGAAAUGUAAGGGGAUCCCUGGGUGGCUCAGCGGUUUGGCGCCUGCCUUCGGCCCAGGGCACAAUCCUGGAGUCCCAGGAUCGAGUCCCGUGUUGGGCUCCCCGCGUGGAGCCUGCUUCCCUCUGCCUGUGUCUCUGCCUCUCUCUCUCCCUCUCUCUCAGUCUAUCAUGAAUGAGUAAAUAAAUAAAGCUUUUUAAAAAACCUCAAAUGUAAGACAGUUUUAAGUAAGUUACAUGAUAUAUGUUUAACAUCUAAAAUAGAUUCCUUAUCUUGAACAAAAAGUAUGCCAUUUCUUUUACAUUAAAGGUCAGUUCUUCAUUAAAUAAGUCUUAGCCGCAUAUUUGAAGAAUAUCGUCUUGUUGGGAACUCAGAUUCUUAGCCUAUGUCAAUUUGGAUUUGCCUCCUCCUUUUAUGUAUCUUCUGGCACUUAUUAUCGACUAGCUGUUUCUGUCAUACUCAAGCCUUUCCUAUGGCAAAAUCAAACAAAACUGAAAAUCAAAUAAAAAAAAAAACCCUCCUCUGACCCCACAUUCUCUGCCCAGUAUCAUAUUAUCACACUUUCCCAGCCAAAAAAAUUUUUUAAAAGAUUUUAUUUAUUUAUUCAUGAGAGACACAGAGAGAGAGGCAGAGACACAGACAGGAGAAGCAGGCUCCCUGCAGGGAGCCCAAAGUGGGGCUCAAUCCUAGAUCCCAGGAUCAUGCCCUGAGUCAAAGGCAGGCACUCAACCACUGAGCCACCCAGGAAGGAGUCCCUAGGCAAAAUUCUUAAAUUAGCUAAAGUUGUUGUAAUUCUGAAACUUGACUUAUUCAGCCUUCUAAGUGAACCCCUUGAUUUUAUUCCUGUUCCAAUCCAUUCUCUGAACUAUGAGUAGAGUAACUUUCCUAAAAUACAGACCUUGUCAAAACACUCUCAGUCUUGAAAUCCUUCUAUUGCUUUCUGUUUCUCUACAAUAAUAUCUUGAUUCAUGAUACGGUGUGUGGGUUCUCGACCACCUGGGGCUCUGCAGUCUUACCACCCUUAGCCCUCGCAGCUCACUUAUGCCUGGGGCUCUAGCCUAUCAAUCUUUCCUGUUCAGUUCCUCAAUUGUGCCAUGCUUGCUCUCACCUUAAAAGUGACUAAGUCACUCACCCUUCGUCUCUCAGCCUAAAUGUCUCUUCUUCAUCACAGUCUUUGUUGGAAUUCCCUGCCAUAUGCUGUCACUGCAUAUCCCUCUCAUAACACUCACUACAUUUGUAAUAACUGGAUUAAUGCCUGUUCCUAAAUUCCAUGAAGGUGUAGACAUGUCUGCCUGUCUUCUCUACCCCUUUAUCUCCAGGACUAAGUACAAUGCCCGCCACGUGGAAUGCACUUAACAAAUAUUUGUGAGAUAAAGAAAUAGUAUUAUGAUCUAAGAAUAAAAGGGUUUUCUUUUGGAAUCUUAUAAACAUUUCAAAUUCCUGCUCACUCCUUUCUUCUAGGAUUAUUUCAGUUGGUUUUAUCUUUCUAGAAGAAAAAUGUUUUGCAAUCCUAGAAUGAGGAAUCUGUUUAACAGAUUCAGACUCUGCCAUGAGUAGGGAACAUAUUCAGUAGUCAAUCAACAACAAAAUCAGUGUUACUCCUAAUUUUUUAAAAAAUGGAGAUUUAGGAAGAAAAGAUCUUGAGGUUGACCUUCUAAUAUAUUUUCCCUGAAUGAUGUUUUGAAAUUUUAAGUCAAAGGCAAAUAUUAAAGGUAUGGAGGUUCCUCAAAAAGUUAAAAAUAGAACUACCAUAUGAUCCAGUUAUCACACUACUGGGUAUUCACCCAAAGAAUACAAAAACACUAAUUCAAAAGGAUAUGCACACCCCUAUGUUUAUUGCAGCAUUAUUUACAAUAGCCAAGAUAUGGAAGCAGUCCAAGUGUCCACUGAUAGAUGAAUGGAUAAAACCGUGGUGUAUAUACACAGUGGACUAUUAGUCAGCCAUAGAAAAGAAUGGAAUCUUGCCAUUUGCAACAACAUGGAUGGAGCUAGAGGGUAUAAUGUUAAGUGAAAUAAGUUAAGAGAACUAUGAAUACCAUAUUAUUUCACUCAUGUGUGGAAUUUAAGUAACAGAACAAAUGAGCAAAGGAAAAAAGAGACAAACCAAGAAACAGACUCUUAACUACAGAGAACAAACUGCUGGUCACCAGAGGGGAGCAGUGGAGAUGGGUGAAAUAGGUGAUGGAGAUUAGGAGUCCAAGUCCUCAUGAUGAGCACUGAGUAAUAUAUGAAAUUGUUGAAUCACUAUACUGUACACCUAAAAUUAAUAUAACACUGUAUGCUAACUAUGCUGGAAUUAAAAUUUUAAAAUUGAAUUAAAUUUAAAAAUAAAAUACUAGAUAUAUUAGAAAAUUGUUUAAGAGACUCUAGAUACUACAUAGGUAUUGGAGAGACACUUAUAUACAGUUCUUCAAAUCUAAAAGCCAUCUAAGAAAAUACAGACAUAUUCAGUUAUAUAAAAAUUUAAAAUCCUGUAUGGAGAAAGAUACCAUAAACAAAGUCAAGGAAAAAAAAAUAAAAAGCAGGAAAAAAUUUUUGUAAUACAUGAUCCAGAUGAAAAUCUGGCAUAUAUAAUCGUAUUACUUAUCUCAUUCUGCAGCAUAACCCCAAAACUUGGCAUUUUGGAACAACAGACACUUAGUCCUUUCAGUUUCUGGGGGUCAGGAAUGCAGGCACCAAUUAACAGGGUGCCCUGCCUCCGGGUCUUCCACAGGCUGCAACUGAGAUGUGAGCCGGGCUACAGGUUCAUCUGAAGGCUUGAUUCGGGAGCAUCUGCUUCCAAUCUUAUGAUGUUUUGCAGGAUUCAUUUCCUGAGGACUUUGGAAUAAGAAUCUCCAUUCCUCAUGGGCUGCGGACAGAGGUUACUUUGGCUCCAGGCCACUUAGCCUCCACCAUUAGAGAAAACAUGUGACAAAAGCCACAGAGAGAAUACCAGCAAAAUAGAGGUCAUCGUCUUUAACACCCAAUCAGAGAAGUGAUAGCUCAUCGCUUUUGCUGUAUACUGGUCUUUAGAAGAAAGUCACCAGGAUUCAGUCCAUGCUCAGAAGAGGGGAUUAUACGCGGGCAUGAGCACCCCAGGACGCGAGCCCCUGGGAAUCACUUUGGAAGCCUGCCGACCACAGUAAUAUGCAUAUUACUGUUACAAAUUGGUUAGAAAAAAAAAACCCAAAUAUAAAUGUGAGCAAAAAACAGGGACCGGCAAUUCACAUAAGAGCAAUCCAAAUGAUCACUUUAUGUUUUAAGAGAUCCUCAGCCUUUGCCGUAGUCAUGGAAAUGCAAACUUAAGUGGUAAAGAGAGGAUCACACGGACUCUCAGAUAAGACUUGUAUUAAUUUAUAAAGAUGAGGAGAUAGCACUCUCAAACAUUCAUUGUUAAUGGAAAUAUGAAUUGUGCAGCCUUUUUGGAAAGCAAUUUGUUAAUAUUAAUUAAAAUUAGAAACACACAUUUCCUUUGAUUUAGAAUCUAAUCUGCCAAAUUAAAAUCAAGAAUUCAAACACACACACACACACACACACACACACACACAUUCUUGUCAUCGGUAAGAAACAAAAUGGAUAACCAUCAGUAGGGAAAUAGUAAAAUAAACUGUGGUAUGUGUAAUAUUAUGCAGCCAUUAAAAAGAAUGAAGUAAUGCCACCCACACCAAGAAAAGAAAGAGAGAGAGAAAAAGGCAAAUAAAGAUGGCACAAAAAAGUAUAACUAGGGGGCGCCUAGGUGGAGCAGUUGGUUAAGUGUCUGACUCUUGGUUUCAGCUCAGGUCAUGAUCUCGUGGUCGUGAAAUCGAGCCCCACUUUGAGCUCCGCACUCAGCAUGGAGUCUGCUUGAGUUUCUCUCUCUCCCAGUGUCCCUCCUGCUAACACUCUUUCUCUCUCUGAAAUAAAUCUCUAAAAACUAUGAGAACAAGCAUGCAUUUAUGUAAAAUUAUAUUUAUUUAUUUUUAAAGAUUUUAUUUAUUCAUGAGAGACAAAGAGAGAGAGAGACUGAGAGUUCAAGUAAUUUCUAUUUCCCUUCUUGUAGUUUUAUAUAUUAGCUUAUUUUCUAAAGCCUAAUUUUAUAUAAUUAGCCUAUAGUUAGAAAUGUGUUUACAUACGUGAAUGGUAUAUAUAAAUAUUUGCCUCUAUAAUCUAUUACAAACUGUGACUGUGAAGUGAGCCUGAAAUGGUAAAUGAGACUUGUACAGACAAGAGAGGAGGAAGACGGUACUUUAUGUAGAAAACACCACCUACAGAGAGAUGUUGACUCCAAAAUGUGAAAAGUCACAGGGAGGCUAAACAAGAGGUCUGAUCUGAUUGGCUCACAGGGAAUGAGAAGAGAGUAGUAAGAGUCUAACUGUUGGCUGCACCGAGAUUGUUAAGGAUUCAUGGAUGGUUCAGACUUUAUCUCGUAAUGGGGAGCACCAUUUGACUUUAAGAUGGCAUGAUAGACAUCUUGGAAGGUGAAUAUGGUCCUGGCAUUCUGGGCAGAAUGGAGAGGAGGGGCCUGCAGACAGCGAGAACAUUGCUGAGGUUAAUUCCGUUGACAAGGCAUAAGACAGUCAAGGCUGGAAGUGGGUUGUCAGGGGAAGAAAGGGACACACUGAGUAUGGCUUAAUAGUGGGGUUCCUGGCAUGGAGAUUUUGAGGAAUGAAGCAUCUAUAAGCACCACUUACACCAACACACUGCCCUAGUCCUCUGAUUGGUGCAACAGAAGAUGUGCUAACAUUUCUGAAAUAACUAAGAAUAGCACAUUGUGCAUAUAUAGAGACCUUUACCAUUUAUUAAGGACUUACACAUUUAUUGUCUAGCUUUU
This 5317-nucleotide long non-coding RNA is filed under the name Canis lupus familiaris (dog). Its description in RNAcentral is "lncRNA (ENSCAFG00845003764.1)". The record is from RNAcentral. Lineage: Eukaryota; Metazoa; Chordata; Mammalia; Carnivora; Canidae.